CGCAGGGACAUGCGGAAUCUCCUG
This 24-nucleotide non-coding RNA is filed under the name Arabidopsis thaliana (thale cress). Lineage: Eukaryota; Viridiplantae; Streptophyta; Magnoliopsida; Brassicales; Brassicaceae. The record is from RNAcentral.